Molecule: ribosomal RNA, 440 nt
Filed under: Colletotrichum gloeosporioides
Lineage: Eukaryota; Fungi; Ascomycota; Sordariomycetes; Glomerellales; Glomerellaceae
Description: eukaryotic LSU rRNA
Rfam family: 5.8S ribosomal RNA (bases 63-216)
Source: RNAcentral
UGUGGCGCGAGUACAACUCUGAUUUACGACGUUUCUUCUGAGUGGUACAAGCAAAUAAUCAAAACUUUUAACAACGGAUCUCUUGGUUCUGGCAUCGAUGAAGAACGCAGCGAAAUGCGAUAAGUAAUGUGAAUUGCAGAAUUCAGUGAAUCAUCGAAUCUUUGAACGCACAUUGCGCCCGCCAGCAUUCUGGCGGGCAUGCCUGUUCGAGCGUCAUUUCAACCCUCAAGCUCUGCUUGGUGUUGGGGCCCUACAGCUGAUGUAGGCCCUCAAAGGUAGUGGCGGACCCUCCCGGAGCCUCCUUUGCGUAGUAACCUUACGUCUCGCACUGGGAUCCGGAGGGACUCUUGCCGUAAAACCCCCAAUUUUCCAAAGGUUGACCUCGGAUCAGGUAGGAAUACCCGCUGAACUUAAGCAUAUCAAGAGGGGCGGGAGAAACC